This is a long non-coding RNA of Oreochromis niloticus (Nile tilapia), 2969 nucleotides long. The record is from Ensembl. NCBI's taxonomy places the organism in Eukaryota, Metazoa, Chordata, Actinopteri, Cichliformes, Cichlidae.
CUUUGGCCUGCAUGCAAAGUCGUGUACACUCUACAUUAUCACCUGAUUACGGCAUGCAUCAGUGCAUCCACAUUUGCCUUUUUAUAUGUGCACUUAACAUGUGCGUAUCUACGCGUGCGGGUGUGCCAGAAAGUGAUUCAAGAUGAACCAGAGAUCAGCAGAGGAAGGCCCAGCUGCUUUUCAUUGCACAGAGUACGGUGUCUAUUACCAGGAGUGCAAUCGCUUUUAAAGCUACUUGUAGCACCACUGCUUCCACUGGAGGAAUCCUUUACAUAUCUAUACAGGAAUCCAACCCUGCGACUUGAACCGGCCACAAAGCACCUAACGACAAGGAAUUCUCUCAGAAGAGGCUGUGAAGACUACAAGCAAAAAGAAGAGUACAACGUUUCCAUAAAGAAUUAUGGCCAUCCGAUGAAAAAGCCAAGCUUUGAAGUGCAGCUCUCAGAGGCUUUACACCCUAUGGGAGAGUUGCGUGAAGAAAAGAAAUCAUGAUCUACAGUCACAUGGCGCAUGCUGUAUCUGUUAGGCAAGAGGAUCAAUUUGUGGCUCGGCGUGUGGUUUGAGGACUUGGCUAGUUGUUGAACCCAGUGAUUAAUGGCUGACCUGCUCCACCACCUGAGCUUUGUAUUUAUAUAUGUAUACACAGAUUGGUUGUGGGGGGGUGGGGUGGGGUGGGGGGGCCUCAGAUGGAUAGGCUGUUUAUUUUAUCAGUUUUGUCCAAUAAGAGAACGCUCUUGGCACAAAGUAACGGUCCCUAAGUUCAGCCACACUCAACUCAAAUGCACCUCAUUGACUUGACAGUUACAAAAAACAGAGUUGCCAGAGCAAUUAUGUUGGCCAUAACACAAUUAUAUUCAUUAUGCAUGUACAACUUCCAGAAUCUAAACUUUAACCAGGCCAGAGAGAAGGGAAAGGGGGUGGGUCGUGGUGAUCAGGUCAGAGUAAAUUUGCUGAACAAAUGACAGAAAGGCCGUGCACUCGGGUGAUGAUGGGGCAGCCUCCUGCACAAAUAACGUGGAAUAAUUAGAGCUGCACUUGUGACCCUAGUGCCAAGGUUAGCACGAUGGUUGGCCCAAGUUUGCAGGUGGGCUAGGCUACAGUGAGUUUUGGGGGAGGCAGUGCAUUAAGGUUGGGCAAACAGUGUUGUUUGAUCUGCUGAUUGGGCUAGGACAAGCUGGGUGGAUGUCAACAUGAGGGUGGCGUUUACAGCCUGCUGCCGCUCAGUGUCACCUGUGUGAGCAACGCUCUGUAUUAGAGCUGAUCCUCAAGGACAAUAAAUCUUUUACGUGUGACCAAAGCUAAUGCAGAAUAACUACAGCUCAUCUUUAUUUGCCUUUUCAUUCGUAUUUCACAGAUAAAUCUGACAGCAGGGUCCUUCUGCAUUAGCCUGAGCCCCCCCCCCCCCCCCCCCCCCAAAAAAAAAUUUAAUAAGAGAGCUAAGUGGACAGAUUCAAGCAAAAAACAGGUAAAUAAAAGUAUCUGAUAAGCACUCAAAAAAUAGGAAUGCUUGAAUGAUUAAAAAAGUGAUUGUCAAAAAACAAAUGAAUGGAAUAGUUCACUAGUUGUGUGAAAUGUAAUGAUCAGCUGUUAGAUGGACUAGUGUCCCCCAACCGCUCAGGGCCCUUGAAUUCGGGCCCCUGGGACACAUUGUAAAGAUGACACCACAUUUUUCCUUCACGCACUCUGAGGAUGAAAGCGCUGAAGCAUGAAGGGCAGGACUGUGAAGAGGAGCUGUAAUGAGGAAAGCAGGUGAGGUAUUUAGCCAAAGUUUCACAGCUAUUAAAGUGCCAACACACUGGACCCCCACGGUGCUGGUGCUUCCGAGGCAUCAGCAUUUUAGUUGGAGACAGGCGGAUGUUUGGUUUGUGGAAGUUGUUUACGGUGGAGUAACAGGGUGGGAUUACAUUAGUGGGUUUUAAAUUAGCAGAAUAACCCAGAUGUUCUUAGAUGUCUAAUUUAUUUAUUUAUUUAGAAGCCUCAAACAGAACGCUUUUGUUUUACUUUCUCUAUCUUAGCUCACAGAAACUGUACAUUAUGAGGGUUGGUGCUCAUAUUGUAGGACCUGUGAGUCACAAAGUAGGCGUGCUCUGAAACAUACCCUGCUUUAUCCUCCUACUGGAUACUCAUAGCAUGAAUUGAACAUCAUGUUAUGUUUACUUAAACUUGAAACUAGCGAUUGAGAUCAUAAGCGUAUCACGAAAACGUCUCCCGAGGCCAUGAAAGGAGAGACCCGAGGGUUAUUUUCCCAAAGACCUCUUCCCACUACAAGAUUCCCCCCGCUGUCUAUCUCUUACACACAGUCUAUGGUUCCUCAUCUAAGUAACACGAGUGGUUAUUUUUACACCGUAUUACUGUCUAUUCUACCUUCUUUUUCUGGUAGAGUUUCAUUAGUAAAAUGGGGACAGCUGACCAGGAUAUGUCUUUGAGCAACUGCUUUCUUUCAUCUGAGCAAUAUCUAAAAUUAGAAACAUCCCAUGUCAGAGUGAUGCAGAAAAAAUUACUCCUAGGCUGGAUGACAACUGCUUAUUAUGAGACUGUUCUAAAAGCUUCCUGAAAUCCUGAGUUAAUACAAAACGCGUCCGAUAGAGUACUGUCAGGAGCUAGAAAGAGUGCCAUACUAAAAUCUUUCUCCUCACAUAGAAAGACCUGAAAAUCAGGCCCCUUCAUAACUUGAAGACCUCGUAGUAUCAUCUUAUCCCAGUAGAGACUGUGAGCUUAUUUGUGGUUCCUUGUUUCUAAAAGUAGGAUGGGAGGCAGAGGCUCUCCUGUGGAUCCAGCUCCCAGUUUGGAUUUAGGAGACAGGCACCCUCUCUACUUUUAAGAUUAGGCUUCAAACUCUUAUAGACAAAAGUAUUAUGUUACAACUCUUAGUCUUUGAAUUCAGGUGAUUUCAUUCCCAUUGCCACAGGUGCGUAAAGUCAAGCACCUUGCUAGGCAGCACGCUUUUAAAGCAUUAGUGAAAGAACGGG